GCAAACACGAUUCCAGUGUAUGUGUAUGCAGUUUCUGUUAAAAAGUUCUUAACCUCAUCAUCAUGUAUCUAAUAUUCCUCCCACGAAAACCAUGAUUAGCAAGCCAAUCUCCCCUAAAUUUUCAUCACUAAAACCCCAAUUUGACUACUUAAUAACCAAUUCCAAAACCCUUAAACAAUUCAAACAAAUUCAUGCCCAAAUUAUCAUCUCCCAGCUUCCAUACUUUUCAUCAAAGUUAGCAUCUUUUUAUGCACUUUCACCUCAUGGAAACUUAUCUUAUGCGAAAACCAUAUUCAAUCAGCUUCCAAAACCAUCUUUACAACUAUACAAUGCACUCAUUAGAGCCUUUUCAACUUCCCAAAACCAAGCCCAGGAAUCCAUUUUCUUGUUUCUUGAAAUGUUACAAAAUGGUGUGUUACCGAAUAAUAUGACGUUUCCUUUUGUGUUUAAGGCUUGUAUGGUGUCUUGUAGGACUAAAGUUGGGAUCUUGGUUCAUACCCAUGUUUUGAAAUGUGGUUUUUUGUGUGAUUUGUUUGUGCAGAGUUCUUUGAUCAAGUUUUAUGCGAAUGGGAAGUGUUUGAGUGACGCGAAACGCUUGUUUGAUGAGUGUUGUGUGAGAGAUGUUGUUUGUUGGAAUAGCAUGAUUGAUGGGUAUGUGAAAUGUGGCGAAAUGGAGCUUGCCCGGAAAGUGUUUGAUGAAAUGCCGACUAAGGACGUGGUUUCUUGGAACAGUAUGAUUAAUGGGUAUGGAAUCAUUGGGAGGCUUAGUGAAGCGAAGGAAAUUUUUGAGCGAAUGCCAGUGAGAAAUGUGAUUUCUUGGAAUUCUAUGUUAGCAGGGUAUGUGAAGUGUGGGAAUGUGGAGGAUGUGGUGAACAUGUUUCGUGAUAUGCCUUGUAGAGAUGUCGUUUCGUGGAAUGCUAUGCUUGCUUGUUAUGCGCAGAAUGGGAAGCCGAAUGAAACACUUGCGUUAUUUGAUGAAAUGAGGGUUGCUGGAGUAAGGGCUAAUGAGAUGACUGUUGUUAGUGUAUUGUCUGCUGUUGGUCAGUUGGGUGUUUUAGAUCAAGGGUUGAGCUUACAUUUGUAUAUAAUUGAAAAAGGUAUUAAGAUUAAUUCAAUAGUUGCUACCGCAUUGAUAGAUAUGUAUGUCAAAUGUGGUAAUAUUCCAGAAGCUUUGAAAGUAUUUGGUUUAAUGAAAGUGAAAGACAUUCUUACCUGGAAUACAAUGCUAAUGGGUCUGGGAAUGCAUGGACAUGUUAGAGACGCUCAAAAUUUAUUCAAACAGAUGCAAGGUGAAGGAGUCCUACCAAACGACAUGACUUUUGUUGCUAUGUUUGGUGCUUUUCGGCACGCUGGAAUGACGGAAGAGGGUCAAAAACUAUUGUCUUCAAUGUUAUGUGUUUAUGGUGUUGAACCUAAAGUUGAGCAUUAUGGAUGUGUGAUUGACCUGCUUUCUCGAGCUGGAAGAUUGGAGGAGGCCUUGGAGAUAAUAAGGAAUAUGCCCAUGGAGCCCAAUGCUUAUGCAUGGGGUGCUUUGCUUGGAGGCUGUAAGAUCCAUGGGAACGCCAAGGUGGCUCAGAUAGUGGGAAAGCAUCUCCUUGAUUUAGAACCACAUAGUAGUGGACGGUACGUUGUUCUUUCAAACAUAUAUGCUGGAGCAAAACGUUGGGAUGAUGCAAGAAGUACAAGGAAACUUAUGCAAGACAAUGGUGUAGCCAAAACACCAGGGCUAAGCGUGAUAGAGUUAAAGGAAGACAUGCACGGUUCUGUGGUUGGGAAUCAGUCAUAAUUUGAAUAGACACUUAUUAAUAAUGGUUGGUAUGAGAUCAUAAUGCACUUGAAGAACACAAUUAGAUGUUCGCCUGGUACAGAUGAAUCUCUGUUUCAUAAAGAAGAGUGUAGAUAAUAGGGUUAUUAAUGAAGACCGUGUUAUCGUUUUGGUCAGUCAGGGAUAUGUUUGCUUGUUUGUUUUUUUACUCUCCAUUUUCUGAAGAGGUGGCAAACUGGAUGGGUCAGGCAGUUAACAGUUCAAACCGAAGCGGACUGACCCACAAGCCCACAGAGUAUACACUAUUAUGUGUGUUAUUACGUUGGUAAUCUUAACUUUCGGUCAUUGAUAAAACUGUUUAGAAGCUUCAAUGGGUUUGUAUACAUGUCAGAUGACUUUCAACGGGUAUGAAUUAAU
This is an RNA transcript of Erigeron canadensis, 2182 nucleotides long. It is a transcript of the gene named pentatricopeptide repeat-containing protein At3g29230-like, with no coding region annotated. Lineage: Eukaryota; Viridiplantae; Streptophyta; Magnoliopsida; Asterales; Asteraceae. The transcript is spliced from 3 exons. The record is from RefSeq and is a predicted model, not a curated record.